UCCCUGGUGGUCUAGUGGGUAUGAUUCAGUGCUCUUGGGUUGGAGAACCGCCGUGGCCUGGGUUCGAUUCCAAGUCAGGGAA
This 82-nucleotide transfer RNA is filed under the name Cervus elaphus hippelaphus. Its description in RNAcentral is "tRNA-Glu". It matches the Rfam family "tRNA". From Rfam's summary of the family: Transfer RNA (tRNA) molecules are approximately 80 nucleotides in length. The record is from RNAcentral. Lineage: Eukaryota; Metazoa; Chordata; Mammalia; Artiodactyla; Cervidae.